Molecule: ribosomal RNA, 434 nt
Filed under: uncultured Ruminococcus sp.
Lineage: Bacteria; Bacillati; Bacillota; Clostridia; Eubacteriales; Oscillospiraceae
Description: partial 16S ribosomal RNA
Rfam family: Bacterial small subunit ribosomal RNA
Source: RNAcentral
ACGGAAGGCAGCAGUGGGGAAUAUUGCACAAUGGGGGGAACCCUGAUGUAGCGAUGCCGCGUGGAGGAAGAAGGUUUUCGGAUUGUAAACUCCUGUCUUAAAGGACGAUAAUGACGGUACUUUAGGAGGAAGCUCCGGCUAACUACGUGCCAGCAGCCGCGGUAAUACGUAGGGAGCGAGCGUUGUCCGGAAUUACUGGGUGUAAAGGGAGCGUAGGCGGGAUUGCAAGUCAGAUGUGAAAACUAUGGGCUUAACCCAUAGACUGCAUUUGAAACUGUAGUUCUUGAGUGAAGUAGAGGUAAGCGGAAUUCCUGGUGUAGCGGUGAAAUGCGUAGAUAUCAGGAGGAACACCGGUGGCGAAGGCGGCUUACUGGGCUUUUACUGACGCUGAGGCUCGAAAGCGUGGGGAGCAAACAGGAUUAGAUACCCUGGUA